GAUGAAGAACGUAGCGAAAUGCGAUAAGUAAUGUGAAUUGCAGAUUUCAGUGAAUCAUCGAAUCUUUGAACGCACCUUGCGCCUUGUGGUAUUCCACAAGGCAUGCUCGUUUGAGUAUCAUUAAAUCAUCAACUCUAAAACCUUUGUGGUUUUUUUAGAGCUUGGUCUUGAGGGUUUUGCAGGCUUUUUUUUUUUUCGAGUCUGCUCCCUUUAAAUGCAUUAGCGAGACUUCCCUAUGCUGAACCGUCUCUUUGACGUGAUAAUUAUCUGCGUCGAAUUUUGGUUCUCGUUGGGCUUGCUUCUAAUCGUCUGUUAAAGACAAAACGGAUUUGGGUGCAUAUAUGCGCCUUUUUCCAAAACCUUUUUUGAUCUCAAAUCGGGUAGGACUACCCGCUGAACUUAAGCAUAUCAAUAAGCGGAGGA
RNAcentral lists this unclassified non-coding RNA (423 nucleotides) under soil metagenome. RNAcentral describes it as "partial contains 5.8S ribosomal RNA, internal transcribed spacer 2, and large subunit ribosomal RNA". The stretch from base 1 to 120 matches the Rfam family "5.8S ribosomal RNA", at positions 35 to 154 of the family's 154-position model. The record is from RNAcentral.